RNAcentral lists this ribosomal RNA (193 nucleotides) under uncultured bacterium. Its description in RNAcentral is "partial 16S ribosomal RNA". It matches the Rfam family "Bacterial small subunit ribosomal RNA", at positions 1307 to 1500 of the family's 1533-position model. The record is from RNAcentral.
GCAACUCGACUGCAUGAAGCUGGAAUCGCUAGUAAUCGCGAAUCAGCAUGUCGCGGUGAAUACGUUCCCGGGUCUUGUACACACCGCCCGUCACACCAUGGGAGUCGGAAAUGCCCGAAGUCAGUGACCCAACCGUAAGGAGGGAGCUGCCGAAGGUGGAGCCGGUAACUGGGUGAAGUCGUAACAAGGUAUC